This 179-nucleotide ribosomal RNA is filed under the name Pseudoalteromonas tetraodonis. RNAcentral's name for it is "partial 16S ribosomal RNA". It matches the Rfam family "Bacterial small subunit ribosomal RNA", at positions 1 to 171 of the family's 1533-position model. The record is from RNAcentral. Lineage: Bacteria; Pseudomonadati; Pseudomonadota; Gammaproteobacteria; Alteromonadales; Pseudoalteromonadaceae.
UUUAAUUGAAGAGUUUGAUCAUGGCUCAGAUUGAACGCUGGCGGCAGGCCUAACACAUGCAAGUCGAGCGGUAACAGAGAGGUGCUUGCACCUUUGCUGACGAGCGGCGGACGGGUGAGUAAUGCUUGGGAACAUGCCUUGAGGUGGGGGACAACAGUUGGAAACGACUGCUAAUACCG